UCAGGGCGUGGUGGCACAUGCCUGUAAUCCCAGAUACUCGGGAGGCUGAGGUGGGACAAUCGCUUGAACCCGGGAGGUAGAGGUUGCGGUGAGCCGAGAUCGUGCCAUUGCAUUCCUACUUGGGCAAUGAGAGAGAAACUCUCUCCAAAAAAAAAAAAAAAAAAAAANNNNNNNNNNUUUUUUUUUUUUUUUUUUUUUGGAGAGAGUUUCUCUCUCAUUGCCCAAGUAGGAAUGCAAUGGCACGAUCUCGGCUCACCGCAACCUCUACCUCCCGGGUUCAAGCGAUUCUCCUGCCUCAGC
Chlorocebus sabaeus (green monkey) is the source of this 300-nucleotide non-coding RNA. NCBI's taxonomy places the organism in Eukaryota, Metazoa, Chordata, Mammalia, Primates, Cercopithecidae. The record is from Rfam.